UACGUAGGUGGCAAGCGUUGUCCGGAUUUACUGGGCGUAAAGGGCGUGCAGGCGGUUUGUUAAGUCUAGGGUGAAAGCUCCCGGCUCAACUGGGAGAGGUCCUUGGAUACUGGCAGACUUGAGGAGAGUAGAGGAGAGUGGAAUUCCCGGUGUAGUGGUGAUAUGCGUAGAUAUCGGGAGGAACACCAGUGGCGAAGGCGGCUCUCUGGGCUCUACCUGACGCUGAGACGCGAAAGCGUGGGGAGCGAACAGG
RNAcentral lists this ribosomal RNA (253 nucleotides) under uncultured bacterium. RNAcentral describes it as "partial 16S ribosomal RNA". It matches the Rfam family "Bacterial small subunit ribosomal RNA", at positions 524 to 776 of the family's 1533-position model. The record is from RNAcentral.